RNAcentral lists this ribosomal RNA (161 nucleotides) under uncultured bacterium. Its description in RNAcentral is "partial 16S ribosomal RNA". It matches the Rfam family "Bacterial small subunit ribosomal RNA", at positions 355 to 507 of the family's 1533-position model. The record is from RNAcentral.
UGGGGAAUAUUGGGCAAUGGGCAAAAGCCUGACCCAGCGACGCCGCGUGGGGGAAGAAGGUCUUCGGAUCGUAAACCCUUGUUGAGGGGGGCGAUGGGCACAUAUGCUAAUACCAUAUGUGCUUGACGGUACCUCUUGAGGAAGCCCCGGCUAACUCCGUG